Molecule: ribosomal RNA, 753 nt
Filed under: Oceanobacillus sp. JAS12
Lineage: Bacteria; Bacillati; Bacillota; Bacilli; Caryophanales; Bacillaceae
Description: bacterial SSU rRNA
Rfam family: Bacterial small subunit ribosomal RNA
Source: RNAcentral
CAACUGCCUGUAAGACUGGGAUAACUCGUGGAAACGCGAGCUAAUACCGGAUAACACUUUUCAUCUCCUGAUGAGAAGUUGAAAGGCGGCUUUUGCUGUCACUUACAGAUGGGCUGCGGCGCAUUAGCUAGUUGGUAAGGUAACGGCUUACCAAGGCGACGAUGCGUAGCCGACCUGAGAGGGUGAUCGGCCACACUGGGACUGAGACACGGCCCAGACUCCUACGGGAGGCAGCAGUAGGGAAUCUUCCGCAAUGGACGAAAGUCUGACGGAGCAACGCCGCGUGAGUGAUGAAGGUUUUCGGAUCGUAAAACUCUGUUGUUAGGGAAGAACAAGUACUAUAGUAACUGAUAGUACCUUGACGGUACCUAACCAGAAAGCCACGGCUAACUACGUGCCAGCAGCCGCGGUAAUACGUAGGUGGCAAGCGUUGUCCGGAAUUAUUGGGCGUAAAGCGCUCGCAGGCGGUUCUUUAAGUCUGAUGUGAAAUCUUACGGCUCAACCGUAAACGUGCAUUGGAAACUGGGGAACUUGAGUGCAGAAGAGGAGAGUGGAAUUCCACGUGUAGCGGUGAAAUGCGUAGAGAUGUGGAGGAACACCAGUGGCGAAGGCGACUCUCUGGUCUGUAACUGACGCUGAGGAGCGAAAGCGUGGGGAGCGAACAGGAUUAGAUACCCUGGUAGUCCACGCCGUAAACGAUGAGUGCUAGGUGUUAGGGGGUUUCCGCCCCUUAGUGCUGAAGUUAACGCAUAA